CCAACACUACUAAAUUUGGUCGGACAUAUACAGUAUACGUCACAAGAUAUAUAUAAGUCACGAGACAAGUUUGUAUAGCCAUUCCGGCGCAAUGUUAAGUAAAAUGCUAGAAUGUCUCGUAAAUUUUAUUGCAAAAUGCAAAUUGAGUGAAUUUGCAAUCGGAUUUUGUCACAGCAAAAAAAUGUAUGUGACAAUUUUUUUGUGGUCGGACCAAUGUCCGAUCAAAAUUACUUUUGCUCGGACAUUUGCCAAAUUUAGUCGGACAUUGUCCGAUGUCCGACAGUAAUUUGCAGCCCUG
Molecule: non-coding RNA, 298 nt
Organism: Paramuricea clavata
Lineage: Eukaryota; Metazoa; Cnidaria; Anthozoa; Malacalcyonacea; Plexauridae
Source: the annotation of a GenBank genome assembly